CCUACGGGAGGCAGCAGUGGGGAAUAUUGGGCAAUGGGCGCAAGCCUGACCCAGCAACGCCGCGUGAAGGAAGAAGGCCUUCGGGUUGUAAACUUCUUUUCUCAGGGACGAAGAAAGUGACGGUACCUGAGGAAUAAGCUACGGCUACCUACGUGCUCGCAGCAGUGGUAAUACGUAGGUGGCAAGCGUUAUCGGGUUUUAUUGGGUGUAAAGGGCGUGUAGGCGGGAGCGAAAGUCAGCUGUGAAAACUCAGGGCUCAACCCUGGACCUGCAUUUGAAACUGGGUUUCUGGAGUGCUGGAGAGGCAAGCGGAAUUCCGGGUGUAGCGGUGAAAUGCGUAGAUAUACGGAGGAACACCAGUGGCGAAGGCGGAUUGCUGGACAGUAACUGACGCUGAGGCGCGAAAGCGUGGGUAGCAAACAGGAUUAGAUACCCGAGUAGUC
Molecule: ribosomal RNA, 443 nt
Filed under: uncultured bacterium
Lineage: Bacteria
Description: partial 16S ribosomal RNA
Rfam family: Bacterial small subunit ribosomal RNA
Source: RNAcentral